RNAcentral lists this long non-coding RNA (711 nucleotides) under Capsella grandiflora. RNAcentral describes it as "long non-coding RNA (CGRA_LNC001128)". The record is from RNAcentral. Lineage: Eukaryota; Viridiplantae; Streptophyta; Magnoliopsida; Brassicales; Brassicaceae.
AAAAAACACUCUUGAAAUCCGGUUUUUAAGAGUUACCAUUCAAAACCUUUGUUAACACCGUACCGCCUCAAAGAUUAUCAUCAAGAAGAAUCCAGAAUCAGCAAAACAAUAAGAAGAAUAAAAAUGGGGUUACUCGUCGUCGUCUUCCUCGUGAGAUUCUCUGGUUCGUUGAAUCUUUCUUGUUUUCUUGCUAAAAUCGCUUUAUUUGUUCUUCAACCAUGUUCUUCAUAUUCGCAUGGUGGCCUUUGGAUUUUAAUUUCGCAUUUUGUUCUUCUUUUGCACUACACCAUAACAAAACAUAUAAAUCCAAAGAGUAAUGACGUACUGCUCGUCAAACUUGUUGCCAACGUACUUUCAUUCAGUAGCAUUGAGUCCAAGCGAACCAGCCACCUGAAGAUUCUCGUGGCUGACAGCCAUCAUGUCCAAGAGUUCAAUGAAUUUAACUCCGGUAGUGAGAUUGCCUCUCAAGUUCAAAGCGAGUUUUUCCAAGAUUCCAAUUUCAAUUGGAAUCGAGCAGCUGGAUCGGAACAUGUCAAAGGGACAUGGACUGAUUAGGAAUGAUGAGUUGAUUUCUUCAAGGAAUUGCAAAAUCGGUGCGAUACUGAUCACUUCUUCUCUGUUCAAUUGCGUCGCCGGCGAAGGAAAAGUGAACGUCGUGGAUAUAGAUACUAUUAUCAUAUAUGUAAAUUAGAAGUGAAAUACUAUUAUCAU